GCGGGUGUAGUUCAAUGGUAGAAUAUCAGUUUUCCAAACUGAAUACAGGAGUCCGAUUCUCCUCACCCGCUCCA
RNAcentral lists this transfer RNA (74 nucleotides) under candidate division WWE3 bacterium CG08_land_8_20_14_0_20_40_13. Its description in RNAcentral is "tRNA-Gly". It matches the Rfam family "tRNA". From Rfam's summary of the family: Transfer RNA (tRNA) molecules are approximately 80 nucleotides in length. Their secondary structure includes four short double-helical elements and three loops (D, anti-codon, and T loops). Further hydrogen bonds mediate the characteristic L-shaped molecular structure. tRNAs have two regions of fundamental functional importance: the anti-codon, which is responsible for specific mRNA codon recognition, and the 3' end, to which the tRNAs corresponding amino acid is attached (by aminoacyl-tRNA synthetases). tRNAs cope with the degeneracy of the genetic code in two manners: having more than one tRNA (with a specific anti-codon) for a particular amino acid; and 'wobble' base-pairing, i.e. permitting non-standard base-pairing at the 3rd anti-codon position. Lineage: Bacteria; candidate division WWE3. The record is from RNAcentral.